UACGAAGGGGGCUAGCGUUGCUCGGAAUCACUGGGCGUAAAGCGCACGUAGGCGGUUUGCUAAGUCAGGGGUGAAAUCCUGGAGCUCAACUCCAGAACUGCCUUUGAUACUGGCGGACUUGAGUCCGGGAGAGGUGAGUGGAACUGCGAGUGUAGCGGUGAAAUGCGUAGAUAUCUGGAGGAACACCGGUGGCGAAGGCGGCGUUCUGGACUGCAACUGACACUGAGGAACGAAAGCCAGGGGAGCAAACGGG
RNAcentral lists this ribosomal RNA (253 nucleotides) under uncultured bacterium. RNAcentral describes it as "partial 16S ribosomal RNA". It matches the Rfam family "Bacterial small subunit ribosomal RNA", at positions 524 to 776 of the family's 1533-position model. The record is from RNAcentral.